Molecule: long non-coding RNA, 448 nt
Organism: Sebastes umbrosus (honeycomb rockfish)
Lineage: Eukaryota; Metazoa; Chordata; Actinopteri; Perciformes; Sebastidae
Exons: 2
Source: RefSeq, a predicted model, not a curated record
UCUUUUUUAAUAGUUCUGUUUUUUUAUGAAAUUAAGUACACAAUGAGAACAAUAUGCCAGAGGUUCAUAAAUUGCAGAUAAAUUGAAAAAUAUGAAAAGGAAAAAAGUAUAAAUAAUACAAAUUAGUAUAUGCAAAAUACAAAAAAAACAAAACAAGAUAACAUUAAAAGUGAUACACUCAUUUACAGUCUUACUCACAUUCAUUCAUCGAUUAUAGAAGAAAUUGCCUUUUGUUGGUCAAUUUACUUAAAUGAAACUUAUCGAAGAUAAUUUUAAGCUUUUUCUGUUAUCAUCAGUUUAUAGUCUAAAUAUAUAGUAUAUAAGUCUGGUGCAGUGAGGGCCGAAGAGCAAAUGUACUUCGGAGUAUUGGGGCCACAUUGAGGGGAAAAACAUCUGAGAUUUCCAGAAUAAUGUCUAAUAUUACGAGAAUAAAGUCAUAACUUUACGA